This 253-nucleotide ribosomal RNA is filed under the name uncultured bacterium. Its description in RNAcentral is "partial 16S ribosomal RNA". It matches the Rfam family "Bacterial small subunit ribosomal RNA", at positions 524 to 776 of the family's 1533-position model. The record is from RNAcentral.
UACGGGGGGGGCAAGCGUUGUUCGGAAUUACUGGGCGUAAAGGGCUCGUAGGUGGCCAACUAAGUCAGACGUGAAAUCCCUCGGCUUAACCUGGGAACUGCGUCUGAUACUGGAGGGCUUGAGUAUGGGAGAGGGAUGUAGAAUUCCAGGUGUAGCGGUGAAAUGCGUAGAUAUCUGGAGGAAUACCGGUGGCGAAGGCGGCAUCCUGGACCAUUACUGACGCUGAGGCGCGAAAGCUAGGGGAGCAAACGGG